This 253-nucleotide unclassified non-coding RNA is filed under the name uncultured Gammaproteobacteria bacterium. Its description in RNAcentral is "contains 16S-23S intergenic spacer region". It matches the Rfam family "Bacterial small subunit ribosomal RNA", at positions 524 to 776 of the family's 1533-position model. Lineage: Bacteria; Pseudomonadati; Pseudomonadota; Gammaproteobacteria. The record is from RNAcentral.
UACGGAGGGUGCGAGCGUUAAUCGGAAUUACUGGGCGUAAAGGGUGCGUAGGCGGUGAGUUCAGUCAGAUGUGAAAGCCCUGGGCUUAACCUGGGAAUGGCAUUUGAUACUGGCUGACUGGAGUGUGACAGAGGAUGGCGGAAUUCCGGGUGUAGCGGUGAAAUGCGUAGAGAUCCGGAGGAACACCGAUGGCGAAGGCAGCCAUCUGGGUUAACACUGACGCUGAGGCACGAAAGCGUGGGGAGCAAACAGG